AUGGCUGGUUGGUUCAGGAGCGGCUGCGCAUGGACAGCGCCACCACCUGCGCCCACUGCUUCAGCCUCAUCUUCACCGUCUCCGGCGGGUCAUCUGCAGGGAAGUGAAGCACCGCCGCCAAAAAAGUCAGAUCAAAACUCCAAUCGCGCCGACCCGCGACGGAUCAGCAAUCAAAAUCUAUUCGCGUUUGAUGAAACGGAACUGAAUGUGCGUACCUGGGGAGAGUAUGGAGAGGGGGCUCCCGAUGGGCGACGGCUCGGAGGCCUCCGAGGAGGCGCCGCAAGAGCACUGGCUCUGGCCGGCCGCGCAGCCGCCGGCACCGGCGCCGGCGUUGGCGGCGACGGCGUAGAGGAGGUCGAGCGCCGGGAGCGUCUCGACGAGGCGGCUCCUGCCGGCGUCGCAGGCGGCGCAGCGCUGCGAGGGCGGGUCGAAGCGGAAGCCCAGAUCGAGGGAGCCGCGCAGCUCGUCGAGCUGGUCGUCGGUGACGCUCUGCGCGCGCUGCAGCGGCGAGCGGCGGCCCCGGCCGAGAAUCCCGCGCCGCCGCCGCUCCCACGCCUCGUCGCGCUCGAUGUCGGGCGACCACGAGUUCUGCUUCUGCAGGCCCAUCGCCCCCGCCGCGCCCCUCAGCCUGCCCCCGCCGCCCAGGCCCAUCAGAUGGGGCUGGAACCCCUUCCUCUCCUCCUCCAUGGCCGCCGGCCUCCUCCGCGAGGGGGACGGCGUGGGAUUUGGAUGGGGGCGAGGAGGACCGCUGGCCGCUGCCGGGGGCGAGUGGCCGGGGUGGAGUAA
This 786-nucleotide ribosomal RNA is filed under the name Triticum aestivum (bread wheat). RNAcentral's name for it is "partial small subunit ribosomal RNA". Lineage: Eukaryota; Viridiplantae; Streptophyta; Magnoliopsida; Poales; Poaceae. The record is from RNAcentral.